RNAcentral lists this ribosomal RNA (497 nucleotides) under uncultured bacterium. Its description in RNAcentral is "partial 16S ribosomal RNA". The stretch from base 20 to 338 matches the Rfam family "Bacterial small subunit ribosomal RNA", at positions 47 to 358 of the family's 1533-position model. The record is from RNAcentral.
GAUGAACGCUGGCGGCGUGCCUAAUACAUGCAAGUCGAGCGAACAGACGAGGAGCUUGCUCCUCUGACGUUAGCGGCGGACGGGUGAGUAACACGUGGAUAACCUACCUAUAAGACUGGGAUAACUUCGGGAAACCGGAGCUAAUACCGGAUAAUAUAUUGAACCGCAUGGUUCAAUAGUGAAAGACGGUUUUGCUGUCACUUAUAGAUGGAUCCGCGCCGCAUUAGCUAGUUGGUAAGGUAACGGCUUACCAAGGCAACGAUGCGUAGCCGACCUGAGAGGGGGGGCGGCAACAGGGGAAUAGAGACAGGCAGCAGAAUAAUACGGGAGGCGGAAGGCGGGAGUAGGCAGAAAGGGGAGGAAGUAGAAAGGAGGAGUGAAGAGUGAAGAAUGAAGGUUUAAGGAGCGGUAGACUCUGGUAGUAGUGAAGAACAAAGGGCGAAGUAACUAUGCACGGCGGGACGUGAGCGAAUAAGAAAGCAAGCGAUAAUCACGCA